This 31-nucleotide ribosomal RNA is filed under the name Chaetoceros sp. IOAC673S. Its description in RNAcentral is "partial 28S ribosomal RNA". The record is from RNAcentral. Lineage: Eukaryota; Bacillariophyta; Thalassiosirophyceae; Chaetocerotales; Chaetocerotaceae.
UUUCGAAUCUCAGCUUGGUAGGGAUACCCGC